This 716-nucleotide long non-coding RNA is filed under the name Marmota monax (woodchuck). The record is from RNAcentral. Lineage: Eukaryota; Metazoa; Chordata; Mammalia; Rodentia; Sciuridae.
GUAAAUUCCAGUCCCAUUCAUGACCAUUGCUCGAAUAACUAGAUACCGUAGAGACUUGGCCAGGAAGCCCUGAUAGCCCAAGAGCAACUUGCUCCUGUUCUUUGAGUUGAAUAAUGGGAGGUCUUAAAGUUGGAAUGAAGCAAUAAAUUAGAAUACUGUUGAAUUUGAGCACUUAUCUUUUUGUGGUGCCAGGGAUCAAACCCAGGGCUUCACACAUGCUCAGCAAAGGCUCUACCACUGAGCCACAUCUGCUGCCUGGUUCUUUUAUUUAUUAUGAUCUGUGGGUUUUAUAGAUUUAUGCAAACUAUUUAUACGUUAAAUAUAAUGACCCAUCAUAUAUACUGUUUAUAUUAGAUUUUAAAUUAGUUUAUUGUCUCAAUUUUACUUGUGGCACUUAGGGAAUUUUUUAAUUUUAUUUUUAUGUAGUCCUUACACAUUAGUAUUUGUUCUGACUGGGUGUCCUGUUCUAUAUGUUUUGUUAAAAUAUACUUAAUGUAAGAGAGUGAAAUAGAUAUUUUCACAUAGUAUUUGUGAGAAUAGAAUUGGUGUAACUUUUAGGAAAAAAAUUUCCAAUAUAUUUCAAAAGCCUGAAAAAUCAUGUUUAUAUUCUCUGACCUAGGAAUCCAUCCUAACGAAAAUAAUAAAUAAAUGGGAAAUAUUUGUACACUAAGAUGUUCAUUAUAGCAUUAUUUAUAAUAGUGAAAAUUGGAUAUAAU